Molecule: ribosomal RNA, 371 nt
Filed under: uncultured bacterium
Lineage: Bacteria
Description: bacterial SSU rRNA
Rfam family: Bacterial small subunit ribosomal RNA
Source: RNAcentral
GGAGGGUGCGAGCGUUGUCCGGAAUCACUGGGCGUAAAGGGCGCGUAGGCGGCCUGAUAAGUAGGGGGUGAAAUCCUGCGGCUUAACCGCAGGGCUGCCUUCUAAACUGUCAGGCUCGAGCACAGUAGAGGCAGGUGGAAUUCCCGGUGUAGCGGUGGAAUGCGUAGAGAUCGGGAAGAACAUCAGUGGCGAAGGCGGCCUGCUGGGCUGUUGCUGACGCUGAGGCGCGACAGCGUGGGGAGCAAACAGGAUUAGAUACCCUGGUAGUCCACGCCGUAAACGAUGGGCACUAGGCGUCGGGGGGAGCGACCCUCCCGGUGCCGUCGCUAACGCAGUAAGUGCCCCGCCUGGGGAGUACGGCCGCAAGGCUG